Bubalus bubalis (water buffalo) is the source of this 905-nucleotide long non-coding RNA. RefSeq lists it as uncharacterized. The record is from RefSeq and is a predicted model, not a curated record. Lineage: Eukaryota; Metazoa; Chordata; Mammalia; Artiodactyla; Bovidae. The transcript has 3 exons.
UCUCCUGCACUGGCAGGCAGAUUCUUUGCCACUGAGCCACUAGGGAAGCCCUGGACGACUCAUGGGAAGAAUUAUGGUCUUACAUCCAAACACAAUGUACUAUUUUGAAGCACUUUAAAAUUUCAUCUAAAAAUGAUUUUGUUAGCUCACUGACUGGUAUUUUUCAAAAAAUUAUGUUCUUUGAACACUAUUUAACAGAAGAGGAAAAUAAAAGACCCCAUCUGCUAGAUCCUCAUGUUCGAGACUAUUCUGAUAUGGACUUUCUUUUCCUGGAUGGAGGUGGGCAGGACAUCAAUAGCUCCGGUAAAGCACCACUUGCUUUCUUGGACCUCUAUUUUCAGUUAAUUAGUUUACUUUGGGACAAUUGUAAAAUGAGUUUCAAAGUUUUCCCUUCUUGCAGAGGCCUCCUCUGAACAAUUGUCCUUCUGAGCAUUUGUACAAGAAGUGAGCAAUAUAUGAGGAUGUUUGACAAGUGAGUGAUUACUCUUCAUUGAUUUACUUCUUCCUCUGCAUCCAAUUGGAGGGAUGAGGGUUCAGUGACGUUUGGCUCCAUUAUGUCAGUCUAACUUAGAAGUUUAGCCAUGCAUGCGUGCUCAGUUGUUCAGUCAUGUCGGACUCUGCGACCCCAUGGACUGCAGCCUGCCAGGCUCCUCUGUCCAUGGAAUUUUCCAGGCAAGAAAUAGUAAAACUCAAAACAUUUGCAAGCCAUUUUGAAUAGUUUAAAACUAAUUGCUGAUUCAUGAUAAUUUUGAGCCAGAAUGUAUUCUGCAUCCUCAAUCUUAUAAAGCUAGCAUGGAUUUUUUUUUUUUUCAAAGGGAAGAAAAAAAUAAAAAGUUUCUGUGAAAGAAAAGCCUUAUUACACAGGCUAAUAUCAGUUUGACCCUUUGAUCCCAACGAACGUAAGA